UCUCUCCUCCUGUUCUCUCUGCGUUGACAUGUGUUGGAUCAGUCUCUGUUGUGGUUCUACUGGUGUUACUGGUUCUGCUGGUGAGACGACAUGCCCAAAGGAAACCUAAAGAGAAUGAUCCAGCUGCAGAAGAUGUCAGUUAUGGACAAAUCAUGGUCAAAGAGAAACACAGUGAAUUAAAGAUGAGAGAGAGCGAUUCAACUACAAUCUACUCAGAAGUGAGAACAGGCGACUUCUGCUAUGGACCAAAAACCACCAGAUCAAAGAGUCCCAAAGAGUUUAAACCAGAGCCAGACGCCAUCUACUCUUUACUGAAGUAGUCCACCAGUCCAACCACACAUGUCCACCUGCUGGUCUCUAACUGGUCCCCCCAGCACCUCAGACCAGAGGACAUAUGGAGCAGCAGUGCAGUAGCUUCU
Neolamprologus brichardi is the source of this 419-nucleotide non-coding RNA. NCBI's taxonomy places the organism in Eukaryota, Metazoa, Chordata, Actinopteri, Cichliformes, Cichlidae. The record is from RefSeq and is a predicted model, not a curated record.